UGAAACACGUUGAGAAGGAGAAGUAGAGACGCCGUUUCCAUUCCAGAGAGAACCUCGUCCGGUGAAAGAGGUUUAUGCGACAACUGUCUUGAAAUGCACCUUUGAGUCUUUUAUUGAACCUUCAUAUUGAAGCAGUAAAUAAAAGCGGAUGCUCCCCGUUAAAGGAGCCAAAGUUGAAACAGGCUUUUAACCGCCUGUUUAAACAGAGUGGAACCGCGCACAAAGCGUCUCUGUC
This 235-nucleotide non-coding RNA is filed under the name Metabacillus indicus. RNAcentral's name for it is "Bacillus cibi T-box sequence". It matches the Rfam family "T-box leader". Rfam says of the family: Uncharged tRNA acts as the effector for transcription antitermination of genes in the T-box leader family. T-boxes are found upstream of many aminoacyl-tRNA synthetase genes and some amino acid biosynthetic genes usually in Gram-positive bacteria. The anticodon of a specific tRNA base pairs to a specifier sequence within the T-box motif, and the NCCA acceptor tail of the tRNA base pairs to a conserved bulge in the T-box antiterminator hairpin. Lineage: Bacteria; Bacillati; Bacillota; Bacilli; Caryophanales; Bacillaceae. The record is from RNAcentral.